Long non-coding RNA from Prinia subflava (tawny-flanked prinia), 2501 nucleotides. RefSeq lists it as uncharacterized. The transcript is spliced from 3 exons. The record is from RefSeq and is a predicted model, not a curated record. Lineage: Eukaryota; Metazoa; Chordata; Aves; Passeriformes; Cisticolidae.
UUUUGUUUGUUUUACUUUUAAAGAGGUCCAGUAUUCUUGAGCUUGUGGGCUGCAGUACUGAAGUUAGAAAUGCUACUGUAUCUAUCUGAAGAGGGAAGCCUUGGCCUUGAACAGAACUAAAAAACUUGACCAUGAUACACUGAAAUUUUUCACUCAGUUUUCAACAAACUACUGCUUUCAGACCUUUCAGUGUUAUGCUUCAUCUGAACUUUUCAGACUCUGUGAAUAUCUGUAUUUUACAUUAUUUUCCUCAAAUGUAUUAGUUUGUAUUUUUCCCAUUUGAAGCUCAUUUUGUAAUUUUCUGCCUGAUUCCUUAAUCUCACUUGGUCCCAUUUGUAUUAUGCCUUUGUGCUCUCUGGUGCUCACCUCAAGUUCUAAUUUAUUCUCACCUGCAUAUUUCAUUAAUGUAUUUUUUACUCCCACAUGUGCAUUAUUAAUAAAGACGUUAAACUGAAUGACUCUCUGCAGAAUGCUAUUAAAUAUUCUCCCCUACACUCCAAAUCUAAUACUUUGAGCCCUUAUUUUACAGCCAGCUCUCAGCCCUUGUGAAAAUGCUCUCUGCAUUGGGAAAAUCAUUCUCAGUACAAAUCUGCAAGUUAUCAUAGCAAGCACUUCACUGGACUCCAGACAAGUGUAUUGCACUCCCUUUAUCCACUAAGCAGGUGAUUGUGCAAAAACAAAAACGAAAACAAAAACAAAAACAAACAAAAAAUUUAAAAUUAAAAUUAAAAAGUGAAACAAAUGGCAAAAUCUGUUUUAGGAAAUAGGUACUGUACUUCAUUAUGUGGUGACUACGUAUGAGACUGGGGAAAGAAUGCUCUGAAUUACUUUUUUGUAACCUUUGCACCAUGAUUUAUAGAGCACUGUUUUCAGCUACCCAGGGUCUUUUAAAUCCCCCUGGCAUCAGGACCUGCUUCUGUUGCUUGUAGUGGUUCAGCACCAAGCCCUUGCUCUCAGGAUGGGCAGCAGGGCAGAAGGCUCCUUCAGACCAACCCUUCUGCUGAUCUGUGGUGAAGCUUCCAACACACUCCACCUCCAGUGCUCCACCAGAGAGAACAGGGUCACCUUUGUGCUGUCUGCAACUUUUCCAUUACACUCUUGCGUGGGAGAAGUGCCCCCAACCCAAAGUCCUGAGCCCAGGGCCUGGGAAGGCAGCAUACCCUGGCACUGUUUUGGUUUUGCUCUUUUCUCAGUCUGCUUUUAACACACUUUCUAUUCUGUGUUAAUUUGUUUCCCUCCCUAGCAAUUUCUCCUAGUUACUUGUGUUCUCCUCUAAUUACCAGGCACAAUUAGAAUAAUUCCACUGCUUUCUAUGGAUUCUGCAGUUCGGCAGUGGAAUCGGGCUGGGAUCAAAUUCGGCUGUGGUUUUCUGUCUAGCAAAGCACACACGUGCUCCAGGAAGGUUGGAAAGUCUGCAGGACUCCAACAGAAGACAUUUCUGAGAAAGAAACACUAUUGGACACUCAGAACAACACCCCUUGACCAUGUUUCCCAAGUAAAUUACAAGUCAGAAAAAACACCACCUGCUAGCAGUUUUCCACCUUAACGAUUUUCCACCUUAACGGUUUUCCAACUUCCAAGGAUUGUUUUUGAUUCCUCCUCACAAAUUCUCAGGCCAGUGUGAGAAAGUUAUGUGCCUCGACUUCUCACAAACUCUGUUGCUGCCUGAUUUCCCUCUCUGAUCAGGUUUCCAGCAUCCAUACAGGGGUGCUGCAGGCCCCUGUCCCUGCACUGCUCUGGCGGAGGAUGGUGCCUUGCUCGCCUGCCGGGGGGCUCUGAGGAGCUGCAGGAUGGAGGCUCAGCAGGCAGGGGCUAGGGCAAAAGUUCUCUGGAUGUUCUGGUUAAAAAUUGUGUAUAACUAGAAGCCAAAUGAGCUGGUUGCCCUCAAACAGUUCAGCUUCAUGCUGCUUUGCCACUUGGCCAAGAAGAUCCUGGAAGAGCCCUGGCCAUGACAGCAGCUUUCAUCUCAGGGAACACUGAUGGAUUGUACUGGCAUGCCUAGUUCUUCUGGAUAAGCCCAGGCUCCUGCGUUCGACAAGUUCCUCCUGAAUAUGAGAAAGAACUUCUUCACUGUGCAGUGGCCAAGCACUGAAACAGAUUGCCCAGAGAGGUGGUGGAGCCUGCCUCAUUGAAGAUGUUCAGGAUCUUUCUGGACACAAUCCUGAGUCUGGGAUGACCCUGACUGAGCAGGGAGAUUGGAUCAAGGACAGCUGUGGUCCCUUCCAAUCUUGUCUGUUCUGUGAUUCUGUAAUUCUGACACAAAGACAUGCAAGUAUCAGUAUGGAAAUGGGUGCAAAAAAUCUUUUACACAAGUUGGACUUUGACAAUCAGAUGGAUCCUAAAUUAUAACUCAUCCUUUGAAUAUGUUCUGUCUUCAAGCAGAUAAUAAAUCAAAAUUGCAGUUUGAAGUAUUAUUGCUAUACAUUUCUUCCUAAAUAAUUAAUGUGCUUAAACAUUUUCUGAAACAAAUUUGAAUCUGAAAUAAAUAUUUCUGAUGAGCA